UACGUAGGGAGCAAGCGUUGUCCGGAUUUAUUGGGCGUAAAGAGCUCGUAGGCGGCUUAGAAAGUCAGGUGUUAAACCUCCAGGCUCAACCUGGAGCCGCCACUUGAUACUUCUAUGGCUUGAGUUCGGUAGGGGUAAGCGGAAUUCCUGGUGUAGUGGUGAAAUGCGCAGAUAUCAGGAGGAACACCGAUGGCGAAGGCAGCUUACUGGGCCGAUACUGACGCUGAGGAGCGAAAGCGUGGGGAGCGAACAGG
This 254-nucleotide ribosomal RNA is filed under the name uncultured bacterium. Its description in RNAcentral is "partial 16S ribosomal RNA". It matches the Rfam family "Bacterial small subunit ribosomal RNA", at positions 524 to 776 of the family's 1533-position model. The record is from RNAcentral.